Small nucleolar RNA from Tachyglossus aculeatus (Australian echidna), 138 nucleotides. The record is from RefSeq and is a predicted model, not a curated record. Lineage: Eukaryota; Metazoa; Chordata; Mammalia; Monotremata; Tachyglossidae.
CCCCUCUCAGGGUUGCACCUGGAGAGUUUCCAGUACUCUGCCAGUCUCAGCUACAGGAGGGAAUGUCAAACAGAGGAAUACCCAUUCCAUUCCUAGCUUGGGCAGUGGUUAGCGAGUAAAAGGCAAUCUGCUACAAAU